GAGCUGCACAGGCCAAGGAAUUCCACAGAGGGUGUGACCCAAAGCCCCUAACAACAGACUCGCUGGGACCCCCUAGACUUGGCAUGGAGGCUGGCGUCGAUUUUCCCAUCAUCCGCCUCUAAGAGCUCAGAGGUAGGGAGAUCCUGCUCCGCCCUCUCGUCCUCUUCCUCCAAGCCUGGGGAAGGGACGUCCUGGCAGGUGGUCAGGGCGUUGCAGUUCGAGUCCAGGCCAGGAUCGGGUGAAGAAGAAGCUCCGGAGCAGGAAUCAGGAGAGCAGCAGAAGCUGUCCGGUGCAGACCUAGAAGACAGAGGUGGUGAAGCCCGGCCAGUGAGGACAAGAGCUGCGGGGAAGGACACCGAGGCACCUUCAGGAUCUGGUACUGUUCUGGAGUGGCCCGUUGCAGACACUGAACCACCAGCCAGCUGCAUUUGUUGUCCUGGAUGUCAGUGCCAAUUUUGCCGGUCACACUGGGGUCCCCAAAGAGGUCAAGGCACGCUGCAAUCCUGUACCCUGAAACCAGCUAGAUGAGCAUGUCCUAUAGAGGCCAAGGCUACCAUGGGCACCCUCUGGGCAUCGGGCCCUGUCUGCAAUACACCUGCAGGAAGAGCUCGAUCAGGUUCAGAUCUGUCCCCGGCGGGUAAGGGAUGAAUCCAUGAUGUCAUCUGCCACCAGGAAGAAAGCU
This 682-nucleotide long non-coding RNA is filed under the name Homo sapiens (human). RNAcentral's name for it is "non-protein coding RUSC1-AS1:9". The record is from RNAcentral. Lineage: Eukaryota; Metazoa; Chordata; Mammalia; Primates; Hominidae.